Long non-coding RNA from Oncorhynchus masou masou (cherry salmon), 1010 nucleotides. RefSeq lists it as uncharacterized. The record is from RefSeq and is a predicted model, not a curated record. The transcript is spliced from 2 exons. Lineage: Eukaryota; Metazoa; Chordata; Actinopteri; Salmoniformes; Salmonidae.
UACCCACCCAGUUGACUACUUUUAAAUGGUGGAAGCAAUGUGGCAAUGUCUAUACCAAAACAAAGUGAUAUCCUUCUAGACUAGAGUCCUCCUUUUACUGUAUAUCUCAUGGACCAAUGAAUGUAAAUAUCAAUAUCUAAUGGAUCAAUGAAGGUAAAUAUCAAUAUCUAAUGGAUCAAUGAAUGUAAAUAUCAAUAUCUAAUGGACCAAUGAAUGUAAAUAUCAAUAUCUAAUGGACCAAUGAAUGUAAAUAUCAAUAUCUAAUGGACCAAUGAAUGUAAAUAUCAAUAUCUAAUGGACCAAUUAAUGUAAAUAUCAAUGUCUAAUGGACCAAUGAAUGUAAAUAUCAAUAUCUAAUGGACCAAUGAAUGUAAAUAUCAAUGUAUGUGUCUCUCCUCUCAGCCCUGUGGUCCUCUCAUCUUGGAGAAUUUCGAUUCAGCUUUUAAGUCCGUACUUGGAUUCUUCCUUGGAUUUGGUUUUUAUGCUUGUAUUGGGCAAGUGUUAUCCGGCGUGAUGAUUCAUCAGGUCAAGAAGGUGCAGUCUACUGACGUCCCUGAGACUAUAGAAGAUGGAUAUCGUUUCACACCGAAAUUCCAGGCAAUUCGCCAUGUGGAGGGAGUUGCGGGAGUUGAACCGACGACCUUCUACCCAUAACCAGGGAUGAGGUCAGGGUUUCAGGUUUUUGGCAUCCUGGCAAAGCAGCGAGGAGUAGAAGGUGCUUGAACAACGGGAGACGAGGUGCAACCAGAAGAAGAAUAUGAGCGUUCGGGAACGGAAAGGCACAACUCACUGCUCACAGUUAUAAAUGAUGUCAUUUUGGAGUCACUGUUAUUGUAAAUAAGAUGUGUUUUUAAUGAAUAAUCCUGAAUGAAUCGUGAGUAACGAUGAGUGAGAAAUUUACAGAGGCGCUAAUAUCACAACUCACUGCUCACAGUUAUAAACAUGAUGCUUCGUUUAUCUCAUUUGUGUAUAAUAUAUUUUAAAUCAUAAUAAAGUUUCGUCUGUCCAUA